GGAGGGUAGGCGAAUUGGCUAGCAAUCUGAUUCGAAAUCAGACGUCCGCUUGCGGAUUGCGGGUUCAAGUCCCGUGCCCUCCG
This 83-nucleotide transfer RNA is filed under the name Planctomycetaceae bacterium. RNAcentral describes it as "tRNA-Ser". It matches the Rfam family "tRNA". Rfam says of the family: Transfer RNA (tRNA) molecules are approximately 80 nucleotides in length. The record is from RNAcentral. Lineage: Bacteria; Pseudomonadati; Planctomycetota; Planctomycetia; Planctomycetales; Planctomycetaceae. RNAcentral also lists the same sequence under 3 other names.